Molecule: ribosomal RNA, 135 nt
Filed under: uncultured Beijerinckia sp.
Lineage: Bacteria; Pseudomonadati; Pseudomonadota; Alphaproteobacteria; Hyphomicrobiales; Beijerinckiaceae
Description: partial 16S ribosomal RNA
Rfam family: Bacterial small subunit ribosomal RNA
Source: RNAcentral
UGGGGAAUAUUGGACAAUGGGCGAAAGCCUGAUCCAGCCAUGCCGCGUGAGUGAUGAAGGCCUUAGGGUUGUAAAGCUCUUUUGUCCGGGAAGAUAAUGACGGUACCGGAAGAAUAAGCCCCGGCUAACUUCGUG